This 25-nucleotide non-coding RNA is filed under the name Cricetulus griseus (Chinese hamster). Lineage: Eukaryota; Metazoa; Chordata; Mammalia; Rodentia; Cricetidae. The record is from RNAcentral.
CCGGCCAAUGCAAAGAGAACUUUUA